CAGUAGCCACGGUAAUACGUAGGUGGCAAGCGUUGUCCGGAAUUAUUGGGCGUAAAGGGCUCGCAGGCGGUUUCUUAAGUCUGAUGUGAAAGCCCCCGGCUCAACCGGGGAGGGUCAUUGGAAACUGGGAAACUUGAGUGCAGAAGAGGAGGGUGGAAUUCCACGUGUAGCGGUGAAAUGCGUAGAGAUGUGGAGGAACACCAGUGGGGAAGGCGACUCUCUGGUCUGUAACUGACGCUGAGGAGCGAAAGCGUGGGGAGCGAACAGGAUUAGAUACCCCCGUAGUCCCUGUCUCUUAUAC
This 301-nucleotide ribosomal RNA is filed under the name uncultured bacterium. Its description in RNAcentral is "partial 16S ribosomal RNA". It matches the Rfam family "Bacterial small subunit ribosomal RNA", at positions 509 to 807 of the family's 1533-position model. The record is from RNAcentral.